RNAcentral lists this unclassified non-coding RNA (578 nucleotides) under Athalia rosae (coleseed sawfly). RNAcentral's name for it is "misc RNA ENSAEAG00005000678.1". The record is from RNAcentral. Lineage: Eukaryota; Metazoa; Arthropoda; Insecta; Hymenoptera; Athaliidae.
UUCCAAUUUUUACUCUACAAUAAGCAGGUUGCUCUGAGUAGCCACUUGCCUGGGAAGAUGUUUGUGCUCGUUGGCGCUGUUGCUGUUGCUCUUUCUGAGGAGCUUGUUGUGACUGUUGUGGUUGCUGCCUAGGAACAGGUUGUCCUCCACCUCUGCCUGCCUGCUGCGACUGUUGUGGGCGUUGCUGAGGAGCUUGCUGCGACUGUUCUGGUUGCUGCCCAGGAACAGGUUGUCCUCUACCUCUGCCUGCCUGCUGCAACGGUUGUGGUUGUCCUCUACCUCUGCCUGCCUGCUGCAACGGUUGUGGUUGUACUCUACUGCUGCCUUGACUUUGACCGCGACCUGUUUCUGUAGUGACUGCAGAAGGUGCUGGUACGGAAGGUUCUGACUGCAAAAUUUGUGUAACAGGAGCUUCGACUCUUGGUUGCGGUGGUACCAGCUGUGGUGAAGAGGUUCCAGAUUGAGGUUGAGAGACCUGAGGGGUGUUCUCGGUUUGCUGCUUUCGUUGCUUUCCUAUUAAAAAUAUGGUUCGGCAUUUGCAAAUUAUGUUUAAAAUCAGUAAAACACAGAUCCUGAAA